Molecule: ribosomal RNA, 463 nt
Filed under: beta proteobacterium enrichment culture clone MBfR_AsRed_21
Lineage: Bacteria; Pseudomonadati; Pseudomonadota; Betaproteobacteria
Description: bacterial SSU rRNA
Rfam family: Bacterial small subunit ribosomal RNA
Source: RNAcentral
CGCCCUUAGAGUUUGAUCCUGGCUCAGAUUGAACGCUGGCGGAAUGCUUUACACAUGCAAGUCGAGCGGCAGCGCGGGGGCAACCCUGGCGGCGAGCGGCGAACGGGUGAGUAACACAUCGGAACGUACCCUGUCGUGGGGGAUAACGAAUCGAAAGAUUCGCUAAUACCGCAUACGACCUGAGGGUGAAAGCGGGGGAUCGCAAGACCUCGCGCGAUAGGAGCGGCCGAUGUCGGAUUAGCUAGCUGGUGGGGUAAAGGCCUACCAAGGCGACGAUCCGUAGCUGGUCUGAGAGGACGACCAGCCACACUGGGACUGAGACACGGCCCAGACUCCUACGGGAGGCAGCAGUGGGGAAUUUUGGACAAUGGGGGCAACCCUGAUCCAGCCAUUCCGCGUGAGUGAAGAAGGCCUUCGGGUUGUAAAGCUCUUUCGGCAGGAACGAAAAGGCUCUCUCUAACAU